Struthio camelus australis is the source of this 211-nucleotide non-coding RNA. The record is from RefSeq and is a predicted model, not a curated record. Lineage: Eukaryota; Metazoa; Chordata; Aves; Struthioniformes; Struthionidae.
AGAGAAUUUCUAGUGAAGGAUAAAAUCAUGGGUAGAUAAGAUGCAAGAAGACCUUGUAACGUUGGCAAGAACAGCAAGUGGAGUGGACCAGCUUGCUGCGAUUUAUUUGAAAAACAGAGAUUUGUAUACUGUAGAAGCCAACAAUCCUCGUCAGUUAGUGGAAAUAGCAGCCAGAGACAUUGAAAAACUGCUGAGUAACAGAUCUAAAGCC